GAUGAACGCUGGCGGCGUGCCUAAUACAUGCCAGUCGAGCGAAAAGACGAUGAGCUUGCUCCUCUGACGUUAGCGGCGGACGGGAGAGUAACACGUGGAUAACCUCCCUAUAAGACUGGGAUCACUUCGGGAAACCGGCGCUAAUACCGGAUAAUAUCUUGAACCGCAGGGUUCAAUAGUGAAAGACGGCUUUGCUGGCACUAAUAGAUGGAUCCGAGCGGCAUUGGGUAGUUGGUACGGUAACGGGUUACGAAGGCAACGAUGCGUAUGCGAACGGACGGGGUGAUCGCCGACACUGGAACUGAAACACGGACCAUGGGCCUACGGGAGGCAGCAGUCGGGUAUGGGCCGCAGUGGGGGAAAGCCUUACGGAGCGGGGCCGCGCGAGUGACGAAGGUCUUCGGAGCGUAAAACUCGGUUAUGAGGGGAGAACAGAUGUGGAAGUAGCUAUGGACGGCUUGACGGUACCGAAUCAGAAAGCCACGGCUAACUACGUG
This 497-nucleotide ribosomal RNA is filed under the name uncultured bacterium. RNAcentral's name for it is "partial 16S ribosomal RNA". It matches the Rfam family "Bacterial small subunit ribosomal RNA", at positions 28 to 507 of the family's 1533-position model. The record is from RNAcentral.